Molecule: non-coding RNA, 735 nt
Organism: Candidatus Vogelbacteria bacterium
Lineage: Bacteria; Candidatus Vogeliibacteriota
Source: Rfam
CUCAUGGUGUAGGGGUGAAAUCCGUUGAUAUCAUGGGGAACACCAAAGGCGAAGGCAGCAAGCUGGUACCUACCUGACACUGAAACACGAAAGCGUGGGGAUCGAACGGGAUUAGAUACCCCGGUAGUCCACGCCCUAAACGAUGAUCACUAGCUUUUCGGAGUAUCGACCCUCUGAGAGGCGAAGCUAACGCGUUAAGUGAUCCACCUGGGAAGUACGGCCGCAAGGCUAAAACUCAAAAGAAUAGACGGGGACUCGCACAAGCAGUGGAUCAUGCGGUUUAAUUCGACGCUAAACGAAGAACCUUACCAGGGUUUGAAACCCAAAUGAAAGCCCAGCGAAAGUUGGGACCUCUCACAAGGACAUUUGGGCAGGUGAUGCAUGGCUGUCGUCAGUUCGUGGUUUGAAUUGUUCCCUUAAGUGGGGUAACGAACGCAACCCUUAUUGUCUGUUAUAUUUGUCAGACGAGACUGCCCGCCCUAGGCGGGAGGAAGCGAGGAUGACGCCAAGUCAGCAUGUCCCUUUGACAUCCUGGGCUACACGCAUGAUACAAUCGCCGUUACAAUAGGUCGCGACGGGGAGACCCUGAGCUAAUCCUAAAAGGCGGCGCCAGUUCGGAUUGAGGUCUGCAACUCGACCUCAUGAAGCCGGAAUUGCUAGUAAUCGCAGGUCAGCUAUACUGCGGUGAAUACGUUCUCGAGUCUUGUACUCACAAUAAAAGCGCACAGCAGCUUU